UCAGUUACUCAUAAGACCACAAGAUAUAAACAAGACACUGUUGCUUGGACAACUUCUGAGGAGCACCAACUUACUCAGCUGGCAGGAUUGCUUCCAGGAGACAGAGCCAAUUAGUGCCACUUAUGCUGGGGACACUGAGAGGUGGCCAUCCGCCUGCUGAGACCGGCCCCAUGUCCUGUCCCCAGCCACACGAUUCCUCGGUGUGGGUACACGUUCCCUGUCCAGGGUUCCUCAGCAAUGUGUGUUCACAUGGAAUCUGUCAUGCUGAAUGAUAACCUGCACCCCACUGAGGUAAUGCACUCACCUGGAGUUUCUCUCUGCUUUACCGGGAUGGGUGACCUGCCCACACGAGGUGCUACCGUCGUGUGAAACAUUGGUGUAGUCUAGGAUCUCUCUGCUUGUUUCUGAAUUUCCGCCAGUAUCACUGAGGCAAGAAUAUGACCCUUGAAAUUCAGAUAACCCUACAGUUUACCAAGAAGCUGGAAAGGCAACUGGAAAAUGUAAACGGAGGGUGCACUCAGGUUUCCCUAUUGAGGACAACUGUGAUCUAGCAGUGACAUAGAAAUCAGCAGGAAGAAAAGAUAACCCUGUGUGCUUCUGCUGCCAUUCACAGGAUUUCUAAAUUCAAGUAACACUCACAAACGUUUUUAUAAAAAAGUCAAUGUGUAGCCUUUUGGUUGCAAUUCAAGUUCUAAUAAAACUGUUUAUUGAA
This is a long non-coding RNA of Corvus hawaiiensis (hawaiian crow), 712 nucleotides long. RefSeq lists it as uncharacterized. The record is from RefSeq and is a predicted model, not a curated record. Lineage: Eukaryota; Metazoa; Chordata; Aves; Passeriformes; Corvidae. The transcript is spliced from 2 exons.